GGAUUAGGCAUGCAAGUCGAACGGUAUAAACCUUUCGGGGUUUAGAGAGUGGCGAACGGGUGAGUAACACGUAGGUAAUCUACCCUCAAAACGGGGACAACCCAGGGAAACUUGGGCUAAUACCGGAUGCGUGCAAGCAAUGUUUUGGUUGUUAAUGCUAUUCACGGAAGUGAGUAGUGUUAAUGGUUGAGAGCAUUAUUUGCAUAAAAGGUGGCAUAUGCUGCCGUUUGAGGAUGAGCCUGCGUCCUAUUAGUUAGUUGGUGAGGUAAUGGCUUACCAAGGCGAUGAUAGGUAGGCGGCCUUAACGGGUGGUCGCCCACACUGGGAUUGAGAGACGGCCCAGACUCCUACGGGAGGCAGCAGUCGAGAAUAGUCUACAAUGGACGGAAGUCUGAUAGUGCGACGCCGCGUGAACGAAGAAUCCCUUCGGGGUGUAAAGUUCUUUUAUACGUGAGCAGUGCCCUUUAUAUGAAUAGUAUAGAGGGAGGGAUUUAAGCGUAUGAAUAAGCAACGGCUAACUCCGUGCCAGCAGCCGCGGUAACACAGGGGUUGCAAGCGUUGUCCGGAAUUACUAGGCGUAAAGUGCAGGUAGGCGGAUAGAUAAGUUUAAGGUUAAAGGGUUCCGGCUUACCCGGUAAUAAGGCGUUAGAUACUGUUUAUCUGGAAUGCGGGUGAGGGAGACAGAAUUCCUGGUGUAGCGGUGGAAUGCGCAGAGAUCAGGAAGAAUACCGAAGGGGGAAGGCCAGUCUUCCAAACCGAUAUUGACGCUAAACUGCGGAAGGUGGGGGGAUCAAACAGGAUUAAAUACCCUGUUAGUCCACACAGUAAACGAUAAUCACUAGGUGGUGGGGUUCGUAUAGGACUCAGUGCCGGAGCUAACGCGAUAAGUGAUUCGCCCUGGGGAGUAGAAUGGCAAGGUUGAAACUCAAAGGAAUUGACGGGGGCCCGCACAAGCGGUGGAGCAUGUGGCUUAAUUCGAUGCAACGCGAAGAACCUUACCCGGGUUUGACAUGCAGCUGCACGGCCUGCGAAAGCAGGCCUCCUUCGAGGGUGCUGCACAGGUGCUGCAUGGCUGUCGUCAGUUCGUGCCGUGAGGUGUUUGGUUAAGUCCAGCAACGAACGCAACCCCUGUGUCCAGUUGCCAGCGCGUAACGGCGGGAACUCUGGACAGACUGCCCGUUCACACGGGAGGAAGGUGGGGACGACGUCAAGUCAGUAUGGCCCUUACAUCCGGGGCUGCACACGUGCUACAAUGGCCGGUACAAAGGGAAGCGAGGCCGCGAGGCGGAGCCAACCCCCAAAACCGGCCCCAGUUCAGAUCGGGGUCUGCAACCCGACCCCGUGAAGUCGGAUUUGCUAGUAACGGCGCAUCAGCUACGGCGCCGUGAAUACGUUCCCGGGCCUUGUAGACACCGCCCG
This 1419-nucleotide ribosomal RNA is filed under the name uncultured bacterium. RNAcentral's name for it is "bacterial SSU rRNA". It matches the Rfam family "Bacterial small subunit ribosomal RNA", at positions 46 to 1396 of the family's 1533-position model. The record is from RNAcentral.